RNAcentral lists this ribosomal RNA (315 nucleotides) under uncultured eukaryote. RNAcentral describes it as "partial 18S ribosomal RNA". It matches the Rfam family "Eukaryotic small subunit ribosomal RNA", at positions 1470 to 1796 of the family's 1831-position model. The record is from RNAcentral.
CCCUUAGAUGUUCUGGGCUGCACGCGCGCUACACUGACGCACGCAACAGGUGCCUGCUCCGAGAGGACUGGGUAAUCAUUUGAGUGUGCGUCGUGAUGGGGAUAGAAUAUUGUAAUUAUUACUCUUCAACGAGGAAUUCCUAGUAAGCGCCAGUCAGCAGCUUGCGCUGAUUACGUCCCUGCCCUUUGUACACACCGCCCGUCGCUCCUACCGAUGGGUGAUCCGGUGAAUGAUUCGGACUUCAGCGGCUCCCCUGGGGUGCGCCGGAGAAAGUUUUGUGAACCUUAUCACUUGGAGGAAGGAGAAGUCGUAACU